GAGGGGUUGGCCGCUUCCUCAUGGGAGCGCCUUAGCAGUGGACUGGCAAAGAACACCCCCUGGAAUGGAACCAGAGAUGAUGGUGUGGGAUUGCUAGAGAACAGUUAAGCAGAACCAGGCUAAGUGGUGGAACCUGAUAACAUGGCAUUGCAGAGAUGGCAGUGAGUGGCGUGCAGAGGCAGAGAUACCAGUGAGCAGAAAACGGCGGCAGAGAUAACAGUGGCAGUGGUAAGCUGUUACAGAGAUGACCUCUUCCUCCACUUUUAAGGCAUGUGAAUGCACCCCUGAAUUCUAGGACUUCACUGACCUUGGACAACCAUCUGUGAGUGGGGUGCAGUGGAGAAAAAGGGAAAUGAAAUGUUAAAGGGCCAUUCAUCCAUCAGACUUUCACACUGAGGCAGAGGACACUGCCAAAUAUACUGUAGGGCAGGAAAAUCUGUUCCCCUCCACAUCCAGAAGAACUAUCAAGACUAAGUGGGCCAUUGUGGAAUAUCACUACUUAAAGGCUGGUUUAAUGGCCCUCUUACACCUAUUAACAUGCUACAUGACAGAAAACAUGUCCCAUCAGCUUGAAUACUGGAAGAGGGAAAUAAAGAUAGCUGACAUGAAGAUUUUCCAUCUCUUUGAUGUUUGGACUCUUACUAAGGCUUGAGCUAAGAGACAAAAAAAGCAGAGAUCCCCAUGGUCAACCUAGGUUAGCCCUAAAAAAAAGAUUAAUUGCUGGCUGAUUAUUGCAUCUCUACC
This is a long non-coding RNA of Mauremys reevesii (Reeves's turtle), 744 nucleotides long. RefSeq lists it as uncharacterized. Lineage: Eukaryota; Metazoa; Chordata; Testudines; Geoemydidae. The record is from RefSeq and is a predicted model, not a curated record. The transcript is spliced from 3 exons.